GACGAACGCUGGCGGCGUGCCUAAUACAUGCAAGUUGAGCGAUGAAGAUUGGUGCUUGCACCAAUUUGAAGAGCAGCGAACGGGUGAGUAACGCGUGGGGAAUCUGCCUUUGAGCGGGGGACAACAUUUGGAAACGAAUGCUAAUACCGCAUAACAACUUUAAACAUAAGUUUUAAGUUUGAAAGAUGCAAUUGCAUCACUCAAAGAUGAUCCCGCGUUGUAUUAGCUAGUUGGUGAGGUAAAGGCUCACCAAGGCGAUGAUACAUAGCCGACCUGAGAGGGUGAUCGGCCACAUUGGGACUGAGACACGGCCCAAACUCCUACGGGAGGCAGCAGUAGGGAAUCUUCGGCAAUGGACGAAAGUCUGACCGAGCAACGCCGCGUGAGUGAAGAAGGUUUUCGGAUCGUAAAACUCUGUUGGAAGAGAAGAACGUUGGUGAGAGUGGAAAGCUCAUCAAGUGACGGUAACUACCCAGAAAGGGACGGCUAACUACGUG
RNAcentral lists this ribosomal RNA (497 nucleotides) under uncultured bacterium. RNAcentral's name for it is "partial 16S ribosomal RNA". It matches the Rfam family "Bacterial small subunit ribosomal RNA", at positions 28 to 507 of the family's 1533-position model. The record is from RNAcentral.